UACGUAGGGUGCGAGCGUUGUCCGGAAUUAUUGGGCGUAAAGCGCGCGUAGGCGGCCACUUAAGUCGGAUGUGAAAGCCCCUGGCUCAACUGGGGAAGUGCACCCGAAACUGAAUGGCUUGAAUGCAAAAGAGGGUCGCGGAAUUCCCGGUGUAGAGGUGAAAUUCGUAGAUAUCGGGAGGAACACCGGUGGCGAAGGCGGCGACCUGGGUUGACAUUGACGCUGAGGCGCGAAAGCGUGGGGAGCAAACAGG
Molecule: ribosomal RNA, 253 nt
Filed under: uncultured bacterium
Lineage: Bacteria
Description: partial 16S ribosomal RNA
Rfam family: Bacterial small subunit ribosomal RNA
Source: RNAcentral